AAUCGCAGAGACGAAGUCUGACGGAGCACGCCGCGUGAGUGAUGAAGGCUUUCGGGUCGUAAAACUCUGUUGUUAGGGAAGAACAAGUGCUAGUUGAAUAAGCUGGCACCUUGACGGUACCUAACCAGAAAGCCACGGCUAACUACGUGCCAGCAGCCGCGGUAAUACGUAGGUGGCAAGCGUUAUCCGGAAUUAUUGGGCGUAAAGCGCGCGCAGGUGGUUUCUUAAGUCUGAUGUGAAAGCCCACGGCUCAACCGUGGAGGGUCAUUGGAAACUGGGAGACUUGAGUGCAGAAGAGGAAAGUGGAAUUCCAUGUGUAGCGGUGAAAUGCGUAGAGAUAUGGAGGAACACCAGUGGCGAAGGCGACUUUCUGGUCUGUAACUGACACUGAGGCGCGAAAGCGUGGGGAGCAAACAGGAUUAGAUACCCUGGUAGUCCACGCCGUAAACGAUGAGUGCUAAGUGUUAGAGGGUUUCCGCCCUUUAGUGCUGAAGUUAACGCAUUAAGCACUCCGCCUGGGGAGUACGGCCGCAAGGCUGAAACUCAAAGGAAUUGACGGGGGCCCGCACAAGCGGUGGAGCAUGUGGUUUAAUUCAAAGCAACGCGAAGAACCUUACCAGGUCUUGACAUCCUCUGAAAACCCUACAGAUAAGGCUUCUCCUUCUGGAGAAAAAUGACAGGUGCUGCCUGGCUGU
This 695-nucleotide ribosomal RNA is filed under the name Bacillus sp. (in: firmicutes). RNAcentral's name for it is "bacterial SSU rRNA". It matches the Rfam family "Bacterial small subunit ribosomal RNA", at positions 364 to 1052 of the family's 1533-position model. The record is from RNAcentral. Lineage: Bacteria; Bacillati; Bacillota; Bacilli; Caryophanales; Bacillaceae.